AUUGAACGCUGGCGGCAGGCCUAACACAUGCAAGUCGAGCGGAUGAAGGUAGCUUGCUAUCUGAUUCAGCGGCGGACGGGUGAGUAAUGCCUAGGCAUCUGCCUGGUAGUGGGGGACAACGUUUCGAAAGGAACGCUAAUACCGCAUACGUCCUACGGGAGAAAGUGGGGGAUCUUCGGACCUCAUGCUAUCAGAUGAGCCUAGGUACGAUGAGGUAGUUGGUGAGGUAAAGGCUCACCAAGGCGACGAUCGUUAACUGGUCUGAGAGGAUGAUCAGUCACACUGGAACUGAGACACGGUCCAGACUCCUACGGGAGGCAGCAGUGGGGAAUAUUGGACAAUGGGCGAAAGCCUGAUCCAGCCAUGCCGCGUGUGUGAAGAAGGUCUUCGGAUUGUAAAGCACUUUAAGUUGGGAGGAAGGGCAGUAAGUUAAUACCUUGCUGUUUUGACGUUACCAACAGAAUAAGCACCGGCUAACUUCGUGCCAGCCGCCGCUGUAACAC
RNAcentral lists this ribosomal RNA (503 nucleotides) under uncultured bacterium. RNAcentral describes it as "bacterial SSU rRNA". It matches the Rfam family "Bacterial small subunit ribosomal RNA", at positions 30 to 526 of the family's 1533-position model. The record is from RNAcentral.